Molecule: unclassified non-coding RNA, 6847 nt
Filed under: Leishmania donovani
Lineage: Eukaryota; Euglenozoa; Kinetoplastea; Trypanosomatida; Trypanosomatidae
Description: gene:LdHU3.29.1830(CDS-product:hypothetical_prote in_conserved)
Source: RNAcentral
CGCACACGCCCUGCCCUGCCGUGCCCCACGCUUCCUUUUCGUUUCUCGCGGAGUUGCACUUGACUCGUCUUUAUUUUUCGUUUUGCGGCGCUCUCAUUCGCGUGUAUCAUCUGUGCUCUUGCACGGAGGUGCUGCGCACGCGCGCGUGACUGUCUGUCGCGGUGAUUCUUCGUUUUUUUUUUCUUUGUGGGCCCCUCUCUCUCUCUCUCCCUGCGUGUGCGCCCCUGUUGGCUCGCUCUUUUCUGUGCUUGAUACUUUUCGCUGCGCGGCGAGGGCGGGGGCCCAUCGCGGACGCGUCAGACCGUCCCACAGGGCGGCAUCGUGGCACACACACGCACAGGAGCAAACGUUUUGCCAUAGACAAACCCAAGCACGCAACAACAACAGCAAAGCGCAUAGACCCUCCAGCGCGCAAACACGCGCUCAUUCUGGAGUGGAUCUGGCUGCACCGGCACAUCCAGUCCCACCGAAGCUUCGUUUCGCCCCAUCCACAGCACCGCGCCAUACGUACACUCAUCUCCUCAUAAGCGGGAGAGAAAGCCGAGGGAGGGGGGGGGUGGAGGGGACAGUGAGGCUGCUUCAACUGGACCGCUGCCCCACUUGUUCUUCUCCCUCAGCGACUAAGGUGCUACGCGCCGCACACACACACACACACACACACAAACAGACACGCGCCGCCAUCUCCUUGCUUUCCGCUACUCUCUCCCCUCCCAUUAAAUAAAAAGGAUUGCAUGUCUCUCAAGCCGGCUGGACUGUAAUCUAUUACCGAGUGCGCUCAUCUUCUGCCUUGUGCUUCGGCUGCGCAACCUUCGUGUGUCUGCGUAUCCAUCGCACUCCCCACUCCCCCCCCCCCCCCCGCCCAUCCCACAGAGGUGCCACCGCCCUUUUUUUUUGUUCGACUCGCUCUCUCUACCUAUCCUUCUCCUGUUUCGCUUGCUCAUGUCUGUGGUGCCCAUUUCCUUCGCUCCUGUCUGUGCCGUUCGUAUGCCCUUGUCAUCUUCGUUAGACUAGAUUUGCUUUGCCUGCCGUUUUCUAUUUUUUGUUGUCUCACCCCCCCCCCUCCCCCGUCGGCGUGAGUGUGUCGGAUCACGCCUCGCUUUGAGUAUUUCUUGUCGACGUUGUGGAUCGUGCGAGAGGAAGACGGUGAAUCAGAUGCCGUCCACGUAUGCCCAUGAGCCAGAUAUGCGCUCGCUGCUGACCAUCACGCGGUGCGUUUCCGCCAUGCAGCACUCGGAGGUAAAGUCGUGCGCGGCCCUCUUUUCGGACGCACAUGACAACCUCAUGCGUGAUUCAUGCACUUCUCACGCGAGGGUACGUAGGGAGGGGGAACCGACUGGGUAUGUAAGCGGCACACUCGAGCCGCCGCGGGGCAAGCAGCCAUCGUCGACGAUGCGCCGCAACGGCUGGCCCAAAGCAGCACGGCGGGCUCUUGUUUUCGAGGACUCUCCACCACCACCGCCAUCCUUCUCGAAGCACGCAGUGCACCGAGAGUGCAGUGCAUUCUUCACUUCAAUGAGACUCGCAGAAGAAGACAUACGAGUGGAGGAGUACGUGCGGGCAGGAACAGCGACCGGAAUGCGUCAGGCAUGAGGCAGGGGGAGGCCCAUGAUACGCAGUCCGCUGAGUCUCGUGCGUACUGGAGCUUCGGCUUCUUGCAGCAAGAGAGGGACUUAAUCAGGAGUGGCACUGACGCCAGGGGUCCCCACUUUUUGUCGUUCGACGCCCCUGACGUUUCACGCGCUGCUUCCCUUGUGUCUCCCAGCGGCGCGGCUGCACGAACGGUUUUGCCGUUAUCGACGUCUCUUUCUCAUCUGCAGCGCCAGCCAUCAUCACCGCCAUCAUUGGGGCCACAGUCGGGGGCAGCUGUCGCUACACCGGCACUGAGUGCACACCCCCUCCGACUGAACAUUAGCGCUGAUAUUUGUAGCAAGAACUCUCGCGCAAGCAACAGUCGUCACUUUACCUUGUCCUCGCUCAGCGUCUCGAAGGUGAAUGAUACGUCGCAUAUCGAACGAGCCGAUUCUGCAUCCUCCGUCGAAGGACUGUGCAAUGCUGGCGGUUUCGACCUUGCGCAGACGAGCUCCAGGAGGCAUAGCUCACAUCAAGCGCUGCAGCGACAGCCGGACUGCCGCGACAAGCAUGCGAGCUCCCGGCCGACUCGAUGGAUGACGUCGGAGGAGGGAGAAGCAUCUCUUGCAUCGCCGGUACAGAAGCCGGCGUACAACGGUAGCGCCGCCCCGUCCGUCGCCGCCUCCCUCUCUCGGCCGUUGGCCACUGCGGCUGUGGCGCGCAACGACAGAAGCGUGACGUCCAGCGACACGGAAGCCCUGUGGCCAUCCGCGCGGACUGCCGGUGCAUAUUCGCCUCCUCAGAGCUCGAACGCCUCGGUCGCAUCUUUUUAUUCCCACUUCUUUUCCUCUGCUGAGCGCGGCGGCCGUCGCAGCACCAGUCGCAGUACGAGCAUGCGUCGUGAAGGCCGCGUGCACGAAGCGGAGGCGACCGCAACGGGCAGCGGUGGCACUACAGCUCUCUCACAUGCUGCUCCGCGGUAGCUGUAGCUGGAGCAGCAGGCAGGGCUGCUCUCGAUGCGAGGGGGCACCCAGUCGUCAGACGAGGCGAUGACGUUAACGCAGGCGCGGUGUGGACGACCUCGGAUCGCCCGCAGCGCGCCACACGCGCCGUUUCGGAGAAGUCGCCGUCGGCAGAUCGCGCGCCCUCCCGAGCGGCCGCGUCUUCUUCACUGGAUCUUGAGCGGCACACCCUGCCGGUGGAGUCGUCGCCUCUGCUAAGCACCGCUGUGCUCGCCGUCACAGCGAGCAAGGCCUCACCGGCACCGUUUAGUAGCCGGACACUGCGCUUCUCUCCACCCUCCGCCGCAGCGGCUGUUGUUGCCGGUGAGGCUCGUGUGAUGGGGGCUUCGUCCUCGCAGAGCUCGACACACAAGAGCGAGAGCGCCAACGUGCAUUGCCGGGAUGUGUCCCAUACGUCGGCUUCAUCGUCUCGUGCGUCCGGGUUGGCCUCUGCCUCUAUCGCCAUGGCGGCUAAGGCUGACGCGUGUCUCGCUGAAGCGCCGCCGACUCCGCCCGAUGGGCUGUCGAGGCCGGAAGCAGCGAAAACCGGUGCGGCACGUAGACAAUAUCCUCCACCGCCGCCCCUGCCUUCGCCGCUCCUUGAGUCUUCGCCAGGCGCUGAUAUGUGGCGCGCGGGUGCUCUAGUGCAGCAGUCCUUAGCGCGACACGGCAGUUCGGGGCAGAGCCGGUCUCAGAGAGGGUCGGAGAAACUCCGCUAGAGCCACCGGCGUGCGCAGAGAGCCCUUCUUACUCCCUUCCAAGGCGCCGACGGUCUCCACUCGAAGGCGCCGCAAAUAUGCCUGAUGUGGCGGGGAGAGAUGCCCAACCUUCCGUGCCCGCUGUGGCAGGCACUCGUGAUAUCACCGGACCGGUGCAAUCGAUAGCAGAUGGGGGGCAGAGGAAGGCACUGAGGGCCCAGCUGCCCGACUGGGGCCAGGAGAGAAAAUCGUCCAUGGCUUUCGGGGGCGACGGCACGCGGCUCCACAGUCGAAGGCCAUCGACGCGACAGAAGAGCCGCCGACUGCGGUGAGUGGAAUGGAGGACAACGUGCCAAGAGAAGCGAACACGUGCAUCGCUGGCGACACAUCGGGUCGCCUCUCAAGAGAGGUCAGUGAGGAGUGGCGGAAUCAGCAGCAGCAGCAGCAGAAACAGCAAAAGUGGCGUCACUAUGUGAUGUGCGUGCCUCCCGUGAGGGCUCCCGGCACAUCUCCACUGAGUCGGCGCAGCGCAGUGGCUGCGGCUACUCAUCACCGGCAAACGGGCAUGCCGCUGUCUACGUCACUGGGCGUCUCCUCCGCGACAACUCCUCCCCCGCUCGCGCAACGUGGCAAUCGCAGUCCAUUUUUGGGUGGUGGCGGCGGCGGUAACGCCUCUGCACGCUCACCCGCGAUCGAUGCCAGGAGGGGGGUGCAGGAAGCAACCGACAGGACCGGUAGUGGCUGCGCUCAUUGUUCACCAGCGGCUUCAAAACUGGAAGCGGAGGAGGUGGGCCACGGAGAAGCAACGGCAGCCGCUGCUGAGGCGCCGGAGCAUUCGCGGCCAUCGCCCCUAGUGCUGAGCCAUGCAGCUGUUACCUCGAUGGGGAGAAGCGAAGAAGGCAGGGGCUCGUAUCGCAGCCGCAGCGGCAGCGGUGUCCGAGCAAGUGACGCGGGCGGUGAGGGCUUUGACAACGAGAGCCGCACCAACGGCACAACGGCGCGCCAGCCAAGGCGCUAUCACGGUGGCAGCGAGCCCACAACCCGACACAGAGUCACCGCUGGCCCCGCCACGUGCCACACUCCGUUCGACUCACUUCACAGCGCCGGCGUGGACUUCGACUGGGUCGCGAACGACCACGCAUCUCAGCAGCGACUGCAGCGCUACACUGGCGACGAGGGACCACUUGCCGUGCCUUCAUCCAUCUACACGGCUGUGACCGGGCCACCGUCUGCGCUGGCAGCGUUGGCAGUGUGCGAGGGCCCUGUCAGGCGGGGACGCGUGAUGACCUCGCAAACUCCCGCGGCGCCGCUGCCCACCUGCGGUGCCGUGGGAGCUGAGGACUUGGACCAGAGUGACCCCACGCUCUCGGUGCGGCGCGCAGACAGCUCCACGAGCCGCUUCGAGGUGUUACUGUGCACGUCAUCCAACUCGCAAACACGAUACCAAACCCCGCCACACUCACCUUACACCCCGGAGCUUGGCUCAUCGCUCACGAACAGAGCCGGCAUCCCUUGCAUGGACUCGUUCGCUUCCCUGGAGCACACCCCGCUGACGCGCUCCGUGACUAGCGCAUCCGCGAUGGAGGGCUCAGCGACAGAGUGCGACGCCCCUGUCAUGUCAACCUUCUUUGCAGAUGACCACGUAGCUGACGCAAUCCCGGCGGCAGCGGCUGCGCGGCAAGUGACAGGGGGGCGAGACAAAGACAUAGCUGACGACGUGCCUGCCACGCAAGGCCUUGUGCUGGGGGUGGAUGAGAAGGCUAAGGUACAUGCCCUGCCUCAUUACGUUGAGAGCGACAGCGGCCCCGUGCCGCGUUCUUCAGUGGAAUGGCCGUCGUCACUUGGCUCGCGAAACCCCGACCAGCCGUCUCGCAUCACUCAACCAGCAGCGCGCACUUCCGGUGACGUCGGCGCGGAGGCUGCCCACCCCACCCCACCGACCUCUUCAGGGACGAGAAAUGUGGUGGCCGCUUGCGCACAUCGUACCCCCCUGGACAGUCGCCUCCACAGCAAUUCGGUGUUCAGAGCAGGGCCUACGCACACCUGCCAUGUAGCGAGCGCAUCGGCGAGUCGAGGCGCUAGGGAGGCGUACACAGGCCCAUCGACCGAUCUCGGCACCAGCGAGGAGCCGGGCAACAGCGAUGAUGAUGGGCUGGAAGAUAGCCUCGACGAUGCACCGACGCUGUGGGAUCGCCAUGCACCCUACCCCGCCCCCGCCCUUUCCAUCGACGGCGGCGACGUGUACUCGAGCGUGUCCUCCGCGUCAACGCCGCCGCCGCCUCCGCCGGGGCCGCUGCGCGAGCCACGGCAGCAGGUGCACCGACAGCGAGAGACUUCCCUGCUGUCCUCCUCCUCGGCACCCGUGAACGAUGCGGAGGACAAGGUGACGGCGCUGAUGUCGACGGCUAUCGCUCACGGAACAGGAGGCUGCCGAGCGGAAGCGGGGGAAGGCACCCGCCGCCGCGUGGCGCCAGAGUUGUCUUCCUCGAUAGUUUCGAUCAACGCGGCCUCGUCGGCGACGACCUCAUCGCGGCCCCGACGUGGGCGCCACGCGGGCGAAAGACAAGAGGAAGAGCACGAGUCCGAUGACGUGCCGGCGGCUUACACUCAGCGCUUGCAACAGUGGCAGCAGGCCCAGAAUAAUGAUGUGCAGCCGCAGGCAUUGUAUAGGGCGCUUCGCAGCGACUUCUUUGCUAGUAGGUCCUGCCCUCGCUGGGGCAGCGAAAGCACGCAGCCCUACGACGCGGAGGGGUGUCACAGCAGAGGCGACAUGCUGGAUGGGCUCGAGCGUGAACCAAACACGAUAAUGAACGGCGGUGGUGGUGGUGGCGAAGACCAUGGAGACUUCGCCGCGUCGGCCCCGUCCUCGCUGCCGUCGCGCGAGGGCUCCAUGCAGGCCAACGCCCUGAUUGGGUCCGCCGCGGCCGAGUUACGUGAAAGUCGACCUUCUAUCGCUUCGUCCUCAUCGACUGGCGCGACGGCGUCGGCGACGGCGGUGUCAACGGCAACGACGGCCAAGACGCCAGAGUGUCGCGCACCAGCGUCAUGGCAGCGCAUGCGCCUAUCCUUUGCAGUGGUGCCUUCGAAGCCGCCGAUAGACUCUGGAGCGAAUCGACCUCUGGGUACCGAUGGACUGCACCGCAGCUCUGCCUUCCCCUUCAGUGAUGGCAACUCCGCCGUAGUGUCGCAGGCGGCCGGGAUCUACCCGGGACGACAGCGGGCGAUGGCAGCGGCGGAAGCAGACAGCUUUGGCGCCGACGCGGAUGAGGAUGAGGAUGAGGAUGGGGGGUACUGCAGUUACGGAUGCGAAAGCGACCUAAUCUACGUGUGAGGACCUCGUCACCGCCGCCGUCUACGCCGCUAGUAAAGGGUGUUGCGCUCCCCAGUGAGAACGUGGCGGUGAUGUUGCAUGCACCGUGUGCUCGCACAGUUUGCGUGCGUUUGUGAUCGCUGCGAGCGAAAGCGUCCCCUGUUGCCCUCCUGUUUCCUUAUAAAAGUGUAUUCUCUAUGUGUUCUGGACAUUCUCGAGCGCCGCACCUUGAGCGCAUGUCUUUCUGGCUCUCGCGCUCCACAUUAUUU